UACACAGUUAAUCCAACAAGCCAAAUACAGGUCCUGCCCUUUUUAACAUUCUUGUUAAAAAGUCUACUGCAAAAUGUUAGAUAACUUAACAGAGCUCCUCACUUAAUUCUUCAUCUAUCUUCUCAAACCCACAGAAAUUCAAUCACUGAAAGCCUGAACUCUUUUUGAUACCUCAUUAAUGUUAAGUAAAUUGCACACCUUUUGUGGAAUUCAUUUUUAAUCAUUCUAAUUGUGUUGGGGCUAUUUUGUUGUACUUUGUUUUUCAAAAAAAUCAGUACCUAAAUUUCCUGACUAAGAGAGUCAUUGUAAGGAUACUGGGGCAUAUAUGUAAUAGAAGAAUGCCUAUUCUGGAAUUUGUAUUUUGCAGGCAACUCAUUUUAACCAAUUAUGAUGUGAAAAAGAUGCUCUUGAGCUUUUAUACUUACCACACAACUAAUUUUUAAAUUCAGGGUUCCUAUGGGAUCAGAUACAUAUAGUUCAGGCUCAGUGUUU
RNAcentral lists this long non-coding RNA (492 nucleotides) under Bos taurus (domestic cattle). RNAcentral describes it as "long non-coding RNA NONBTAT000169". The record is from RNAcentral. Lineage: Eukaryota; Metazoa; Chordata; Mammalia; Artiodactyla; Bovidae.